RNAcentral lists this ribosomal RNA (252 nucleotides) under uncultured bacterium. RNAcentral's name for it is "partial 16S ribosomal RNA". It matches the Rfam family "Bacterial small subunit ribosomal RNA", at positions 524 to 776 of the family's 1533-position model. The record is from RNAcentral.
UACGUAGGGGGCAAGCGUUGUCCGGAAUUAUUGGGCGUAAAGCGCGCGCAGGCGGUCCAUUAAGUUGGGUGUUUAAGCCCGGGGCUCAACCCCGGUUCGCAUCCAAAACUGGUUGACUUGAGUGUAGGAGAGGAAAGUGGAAUUCCACGUGUAGCGGUGAAAUGCGUAGAGAUGUGGAGGAACACCAGUGGCGAAGGCGACUGUCUGGCCUAUGACUGACGCUGAGGCGCGAAAGCGUGGGGAGCAAACAGG